UUUUUUUUUAGGUUCAUGUGUUUUUCAUGGUUCUCGUGACCUCUGCAGAAGCCCCAGCUCUGGAAAGAAAGAAGGAGCUGUUAAAUCCAGAACAUUUUCCUUAGAAUGUAUUUAUCAAAUCAGAGAUGAAAAGAAAAUGAAGGAACUGGGCCACAAGGAAGAAAAGAAGUGAAGAAUCCAAUACAAUCUGGGUCAUUUCAAACCAGCCACAGAGAACCUGCAUUUGGGGGACAUAUUUCAGGGAAGACACAGCCUACCAUUCAGAAUCCUCCCGAAUCUAUGAGACAAAGUGCUUCGGUGAAGCUCAGAGAUUCAGUUUGGAGUUGCUACCAAAGCCUUCCCAUUGGAGAUCUUCCCAGAGAGAUGAUCCUUCUGCCUUCAGUUCAAUUGGCCUUUUUGGGGGCGCUUCAUGCUUGUUGACCAUGACGGUAGGAGGCUAAAGAGGCCACCGAACGAAUGCUCCCCUUGCUGUCAAGGGAUUCCUAGACUCGAAGUGUCAAGUAUAUUGAACAUCAAAACCGCCCUUGGCUCUAGUUCCUUGAAUGCAUUCUAUCAGCCAUCAUCAGCUGUCAUCACUUCAAUCUUCUUCUGGAAAACCUUUCCUGAAAUACAGGCAGACACGAGCUGAAAUCAGUACUUCAUGAUCGGCAUUUUCCGGUAAGUUGCCUUGCCUCUCCGUGCCUGUUUCCUCAUCUGUAAACAUGGAGAUAAUUAGGUUGAAGGAGUUAAUGUCUGUGCUUAAUCUGGCUCAUGUUGCAUAUAUAUUAUAUUUAUUGUAUAAUUAUACACACACAUAUAUAUAUGUAUAUAUUUUUUUUUUUUUUUAGAGAGAGAGGAAAUGUG
RNAcentral lists this long non-coding RNA (843 nucleotides) under Vulpes vulpes (red fox). RNAcentral's name for it is "lncRNA (ENSVVUG00000009806.1)". Lineage: Eukaryota; Metazoa; Chordata; Mammalia; Carnivora; Canidae. The record is from RNAcentral.